AUGUUACGAUUCAAAUUAACACCUUUUCAAAACGUAUACAAAGUGGCUCAUACGGAAACUUCGAACUUACCCGAACGAGAUUUUGAAAUGUGUGUAUAUAUAUAUGGAUAGCUCACAUUCGACACCCUCAUAACUAACACACUCUCUCUGUUCGAAUAACGACCUCGUCUGCGGGACUUGCAAGCCGCCGGAGUUCAUCGAGUUACGAUGGGACACGGUUCCUCUCGUUUCGCCAUCCCACCGGGGAUAUACGGACAUUUCCGGAGAUCGAGAAGGCAACCGGAGUGACCUGCACGCCUGUCGGAGCUACGAGUCGUCGCCCGAAGAUCGGAGGCAACGUGGGAAACGACCGAAGCCACAACGAGACUGAUUCAUCUUGUCGGAUAAUCCCUAUUGUUCGUUACUUUGGAAUUCUCCAUCUUUACUCGUGUAUUUACAAGAAAUCACAACGCAACCAAUGUUGAUAGAUGAAGUGAUCAAGAAAACAAGCUAGGAUGAACCUAGAAACCCAUUUAGAAUAAACAAUGUUUUGAACUAUUUUUGGUACAAUGUUUGAAUCUUGUAUGACAUUUUAGCAUUUAUGA
This 584-nucleotide long non-coding RNA is filed under the name Helianthus annuus (common sunflower). The record is from RNAcentral. Lineage: Eukaryota; Viridiplantae; Streptophyta; Magnoliopsida; Asterales; Asteraceae.